RNAcentral lists this non-coding RNA (31 nucleotides) under Homo sapiens (human). Lineage: Eukaryota; Metazoa; Chordata; Mammalia; Primates; Hominidae. The record is from RNAcentral.
UCCCUCACGGUGGCCUGUUGAUGCCCAACUC